This 926-nucleotide ribosomal RNA is filed under the name uncultured bacterium. RNAcentral describes it as "bacterial SSU rRNA". It matches the Rfam family "Bacterial small subunit ribosomal RNA", at positions 8 to 968 of the family's 1533-position model. The record is from RNAcentral.
AGAGUUUGAUCAUGGCUCAGAAUCAACGCUGGCGGCGCGCUUAACACAUGCAAGUCGCACGAGAAAGUGGAGCAAUCCAUGAGUACAGUGGCGUACGGGUGAGUAACACGUGGAUCAUCUACCUCUUAGUGGGGAAUAACCCUGGGAAACCGGGGCUAAUACCGCAUAAGCUCGAGAGAGGAAAGCAGCAAUGCGCUGAGAGAGGAGUCCGCGGCCGAUUAGCUAGUUGGCAGGGUAAACGCCUACCAAGGCAAAGAUCGGUAGCCGGCCUGAGAGGGCACACGGCCACACUGGCACUGAAACACGGGCCAGACUCCUACGGGAGGCAGCAGUGGGGAAUCUUGCACAAUGGGGGAAACCCUGAUGCAGCGACGCCGCGUGAGCGAUGAAGCCCUUCGGGGUGUAAAGCUCUUUCGGCAGGGACGAUCAUGACGGUACCUGCAGAAGCAGCUGCGGCUAACUACGUGCCAGCAGCCGCGGUAAUACGUAGGCAGCGAGCGUUGUUCGGAGUUACUGGGCGUAAAGGGUGUGUAGGCGGUUGCUUAAGUUUGGUGUGAAAUCUCCCGGCUCAACUGGGAGGGUGCGCCGAAUACUGAGUGACUCGAGUGCGGGAGAGGAGAGUGGAAUUCCUGGUGUAGCGGUGAAAUGCGUAGAUAUCAGGAGGAACACCGGCGGUGUAGACGGCUCUCUGGACCGUAACUGACGCUGAGACACGAAAGCGUGGGUAGCAAACAGGAUUAGAUACCCUGGUAGUCCACGCCCUAAACGAUGCAUAUUUGGUGUGGGUCAUUCAGUUGAUCCGUGCCGGAGCUAACGCGUUAAAUAUGCCGCCUGGGGAGUACAGUCGCAAGGCUGAAACUCAAAGGAAUUGACGGGGCCCGCACAAGCGGUGGAGCAUGUGGUUCAAUUCGACGCAACGCGAAGAA